Molecule: RNA transcript, 3687 nt
Organism: Sander lucioperca (pikeperch)
Lineage: Eukaryota; Metazoa; Chordata; Actinopteri; Perciformes; Percidae
Gene: chic2
Gene name: cysteine-rich hydrophobic domain 2
Exons: 6
Source: RefSeq, a predicted model, not a curated record
AUGUCCCUCUUCCGGUGACGUACCGUUACUGCGGCGGAUGUUGAUGUUUUGUUUCAGAGCGCUGGCAGAACGAUGUGAACUGUAUCGUCUCCGGGACGGGUUGAUAUUUUUCGUGGUUGUCUUCGCGGUUCUAUUUGUACUCUUUUCUCGGUAAGGCUCGCUGUUCUUCGGCAUCGUGUCUGUCCCGGUGUCUGUCCCGGGAAGCGCGAGACCGAGUCGUGCGAUGAUGGAGGACUUUGAUGAGAUCUACGAAGAGGAGGAGGAGGAGGAAGAGGAGGACGAGGACAGGGCCGCGGAGGAGCAGCUCCUCAAGUACGCUCCGGACCCGGUGGUGGUGCGAGGGUCCGGCCACGUCACUGUCUUUGGGCUUAGUAACAAAUUUGAGUCAGAAUUUCCUUCAGCACUAACAGGAAAGGUGGCACCAGAGGAAUUCAAAGCCAGUAUCAACCGUGUAAACAGCUGCCUGAGGAAGACGCUGCCAGUGAACGUGCGGUGGCUCCUGUGUGGCUGCCUCUGCUGCUGUUGCACAUUGGGCUUCAGUUUGUGGCCUGUCAUCUGUCUCAGCAAGAGGACAAGACGAUCUAUAGAGAAACUUCUGGAGUGGGAAAACAGCAGACUUUACCACAAGGUGAGCAUGAACGGAUGUGUGCCUAUUAAUAGUGUACCUUGUUAGGACAUGUUAUAAAAAUAUCUGAUCUCUAUUGCACUCUGUUUUCAGUUGUGUUUGCAUUGGAUACUAAGCAAAAGGAAGUGUGAAACCAACAACAUGAUGGAAUAUGUAAUCUUAAUAGAGUUCUUACCUAAGAUCCCCAUCUUCAGACCAGACUAGCCCAAUUGCAGCUGAUCUUAAACCUCCACUGCUGCCCAGCUCUGAACCACAAUGGCUGUCAAGUCCUGAAUGAAUACCCCAAUCUUUUUGUUUACAGGGUAGCAUUGAUCCUCCCUCUUUUCUCUUUAACUUGUUCUCCCACACAUACCUUCUCUUCACCCUUGUUUACAAACCCGGCAUCCCAACACUUGUUUUUGGAGUGAAUUCACCAUUGAAUCACGACCACGAUCAUCAGGCGAGCUGGCACACUGUUAAGCCAUGCUAACCUGCACCAGCCUGUGGGAUGUUGGGAGAACCAGCCAUGGGCAGCGUUAAUGGAUUUUGGAUCUAGAGCUGGAGACUGGACUCUCAGAUUGAGUUCUCUGAGCUACGACUGGAAUUUUGUCACUUGUAUUUCCCCUAACCUAAGCACAUGGCACAGUCAGACCAUGAUAAAACAAACACUUUCACGUGUCACCUACUGUCACACCGCCAACUUCACCUGCAAAAAAUACACCCCAGUGCUUUUGUACCAGUUAGUGUGGUGCUCUAGAUCAUUACUAGAGGCUGUGGAGCAACAUAACAUGGAACUCCAAAGGAACCUUUAUCCAAAUCAACUCUGUAGCAGACAGAUUAGUCUUACAGAAGCAUGUUGGGCCACAGCCAGAACAGCUGAACUCAAAAAUGUCCCUCUUCUCAUCAACUACCAAACGUCCUCUCGCCUCCUUUUACAUAUCUGCACACUUCACUGUGCAUCACCCCUAACCCAGUGACAAUCACACACUCUGACUGUACUCUCCGUAGUGUGAAUGGGUCUUUAUGUUACACAGUUUACCUGGAACAUUUUGUUUUCAACAUAACAUGUGUGUCAAGGUGAUGGGCUGGCUGCCUAGCAACCGCUCCUGAGUCACAGUGGAACAAGUAAGCUGGAAAGGAAAGCCACUAGUGAUGAAAAAGAGAUACCUUUUAUUCUUUUUUUAGUAUCUUAAGUUUUGUUUACUGUUUUGGUGAAAGAGAGGCAAUCAGUACUUCACUGUUGUGUGUAUCUUUCUGAGAGUGAGAACUAUAAGCAAAUAAGAGACAAAUCAGACACAAAGAGAUACUCUUUACUCUGUAAAGCAGCAGGGUUCUUCCUUUGACGUAUAUCUUUGCCAUAACCAAUCUUUGUUACUUUUGUUGUAAUUUAAUAUAAAUGCAUGAGUGCGCAUAGAAUCUGUGCAUUCGUGAAAGGGGUCUCAGUUGUUUUUUUGCAAAGGUAUGCCAUGGUUGCUUCCUUUUUGUCUUUAUGGUCAUGUGACAACACUAAAACACAAUCGCUUUGUCCUUAACACCUUCACAUGGCCUCUCUUCCAUAUCUGUUGACCUUGGCUUACUUAUAUGAGUGUUCAAGUUAACGAUGUGGCUUUUCUGAGAAAGUUCCUCUGCUUUAGAUAUAAUCUGACCCUUUACAUUCAGAGGUCUGGAGUGACCAAGAAUGUUAGGUCAUUUUAUUAGGUGUUAGGUAAUAGCAGGGUUCUGUAUCAUGAAGCAGGAUUACUAAAGUUAGCUUAAUAACUGCACUGAGUAAAACCAGACUACACCCACAUCAGGAAUGUGGACAUCAAGCUACACUAAUCAGUGUUUUUAUAUUAACAAUAAAAAAAAUGACUGUAAUGUGAAAGGAGUUACUUGUAAUGAUGUACCUACCUACAGAGAAUUAUCACCCAACUGUAGUCCCCCUCAGCUCUACGGAGCGUUAUAGCGUCUUUCAGCUCAUUGUUUUGAUUUUCUGGCCUGUGGCAGCAGAGAAACCUCUGAUAAACCCACUGUACACUAGCUGCUCAGCACCAAACAACAGACACACAGUGACUAGCUGGUGAACAUAGUGGAGCAUUUAGGAGCUAAAGAUAUUUCCCAGAUAUUUCCCUCAGGAGUUAAUGGAGACCAGUAAUGGAGCUAAAAGGAGAAUGACUCUUGAACUUACUUUUAUCAGGUGUCCGGAAACCUGACCCCAAUUGAAUGCUAAUGUUGCAGUUUGCUAACAAGCUGUUCGUUACUUCAGUUAUCUAUCUAACAAUCCUGCUUCGUUAUAAAGGCCUAAGACAAUUUUAAAACUGUCAACAUGUUAUAGAUCACAUCAUAAAGCACAUCUCAGUUUAAAUGAAACGUACAACCAAAUGCCAGCAAAAAGGUGAUGGUAUAGAUGUAGCUUUUCACUGUCAGCAUCACCUCUUGAUUUAUAAAAACAUCCAGAGACUGAGAUUGAACAAAGCCACUUUGUUUUAGGUCACACAGCUCCAGUGAUUAUGGGUCACACUCAGGGGAUUAUACUUACAACAAAAUGUAGUAUUGGAAAAUCUCACUGUCAGGUAUGUUCCUAAGUUAUACCAGGGGGUAAAGUAUUCUGCACAGAUCACACAUUACUUGAGUAAUUGGAGUAUGUUAUGAAAUUGAAGAAAUGCCUCUAAAGACAACUAAUCUUUCUGUGGUCUUCCUGUUGAGUUAGUAAAGGAAGCACAUCUUCCAUGGACCCACAAAGCUCAGACAUUGUUUUGGUUUAUAUGUUGAAAGACCCAAAAUUCACUCGAUUGGUUCAUCAGUGACUUUUCUAUAUUUUUGAUUGUGCUCGGUUCUAUGUAAAUCAAGGCAUAAGGCCAUAUGCAGAUAUUUGUGCUGUGUGUGUACACGGUGUAUGAAGAUGCAAAUGUUCUUCGUAGAUCUCAGACUGUGAUUGAACCCUGCACAGAAAUUGAGUCCUUUUUUUAUAUAAUCUUGAGUGGUCUGUGUGUUUGUGUGUAUGAGAGUGAGAAAGAUAUAUGUACAUAUGACUCAUGAGCAGGUGUGCAGAUGUACAGUAAUAAACUACCAAUAAACAAGGCUAUGGGCAUCCUCCUCUUUAA